Molecule: long non-coding RNA, 2176 nt
Filed under: Sus scrofa (pig)
Lineage: Eukaryota; Metazoa; Chordata; Mammalia; Artiodactyla; Suidae
Description: lncRNA (ENSSSCG00005011624.1)
Source: RNAcentral
UGUCUUCUGGUUUGCAUUGGGGUUAAGACGUAUGCAGAGAGGAAUGGUCUGGAAAUGGGGAGCUGCUGCCAUGGGUGUGUGUCAAGUACGCAUCGCACCUCCGUUUCCAUGUGCACAGCAUUGUACAGUUUACAAAACUGUACGUUUGGAUCUAUGCUUGAUCAGCUUAGACAUUCCUUGUCUGGGUCCUGGCUCUGUCCCCGUGCUGGCGUCACAUCUGGCCUGCACAAUAUCUGAGGAAAUACUUUGUUGAAUAAAUGACCUCAGUAGGUUCUCAGGGCUGUCUUGUUUAUAGGGACACAGCAAGUUUUGCCAUUCCAUCCUCUAGGCAGUUUUUUAACCUGGAGUCACAUAGCUGGUAGCUAAAGGAUCUAGGCUUCCCCUGUGCCUUCUGCUUUAUCUUAACCCCAGUAAUUAAAGUAGAAAAGCCACGUUUUGAUCAACUGUGUUUUGAAAGAAGAGAGGGGAGAGCGGUUGUAACCCACAGAGUCUCAAAAAUCAUAGUAGCCUGUUCGAUGUGUAACAGAGAAAAAAAUCUUAAAUAUCUCUUGAUGGUGCUGUCAAGUCAGGUUUUUAUAAUUUAGCGGAAGAACAGAAUACUCACCCCUUCCUUCUUAUACAACCAGAUACUUACUGAAUGUCCGCUCUGUAUCAGGCAUCGUGUGUGUACGGGGCAUAUAACUGAACAAAUGCAGUGCAAACACCUGCCCUUGGCGAGCUUACCUUCUCGUACAGGCACCAGGCUACUAGUAAAUCUGUGAGUAUGUGCUAUAUUUCUGACAAAAAUCAGAACAGGCUGUGUUAGGGGAGAGAGAGUGGUGGGAUGGUUUUAUUUGGAGGAGUCAUGGAAAGCCUUUCAUAGGAUGGGACACUUGGGCAAAGACCUCAGUGAUGUGUAGGUGGGGGGGCGGGGCCAAGGUGAGAAUCAGGGGAGGAGCAAGGCAGGUGGAGAGAAUGGCACAGCAAAGGCCCUGAGGUCGGGAAGAGCCUUUAAGUCUGGAGUGAGAGGCAAGAGGACUUGGAUUUUGUUGUAUGUGUGAUAGGAUACUGAGUUACUUUCCUAGGGCUGUCCUAACAAAUUACUACAAACUUAAAGCCGCAGAAAUUUGUUCCCUCACAAUUCUAGACAGCACAAGUCUGAAAGCAAGCAGUCAGGCUCCCUCUCAAGGUUCCAGGGGAGAAUCUUUCCUUGCCACCUGCAACUUCUGGUGACUCCAGGCAUCCUUGACUUGUGGCUGCAUCACUCCAUCUUUGCCUCUGUCUUCACUGGCCUUCUCUUCCGUGUCUGUGUCUUGUCUUCUUCUGUCUCAUGUAAGGACACUGGUCAUUGGAUUUAGGGCCCACCCAGGUAAUCCACGAUGACCUCAUCAAAAGAGCCUUAACUUAAGUUCAUCUGCAUCUUUUUCCAUAUAAGGUCAUGGUCACAGGUUCUGGGACAGGAGCACAUCCUUGAGGGGCCCAGUAUUCAACCCAUUACAGGAACUGUGGAGGAUGUUGAAGCAGAGGGAGUGAUGGCAUCUAGUAUGUUUUUAAAAGAGAGCUCUGGUGCUGCAGAAGCAUGAUUUUAGGUGGAUGAAGAACCGCCUGAGGAGCCUGGUAGUGGGGGGCUCUUGCAGUGGCCCAGAUGAGAUAAGGUUGAGGGGGGGAUGGAGAAAAAGCAUGGGUUUCAGUUCUUCAAUCCCAUGGGAGCAGGUGCGACUUGUUGAUGGCUUAGAAGUAGUUAGGAAAGAAAGAAAAUCCAGGAUCAUGGUGCCCUUUACAGAGAAGGGGAAGAUGGUUUUGGAGCGGGAGCACACGGGGGCAGAGGUGGUGCCGUCCAGAGUUCUGUUUGGGGUAUGUGAGCUGGGAGGAAGGGAGAUGUUGGGCAUUAAUUUACACGCAUGGAUCUUCAGCUCGGUGUGUAUAUAAAUUUGAGCUUUUGGAGUUUCUGUUGUGGCUCAGAAGGUUAAGGACCUGAUCUUGUCUCUGUGAGGAUGCAGGUUCUAUCCCUGGCCUUGCUCAGCGGGUUAAGGAUCCAGCGUUGCUGAGAGCUGCAGUGUAGGUCACAGAUGCUGCUCAGCUCUGGUGUUGCUAUGGCUGUGGUGCAGGCCAGUAGCUGCAGCUGCAAUUUGAGCCCUAGCCUCAGAACUUUCAUAUGCCCAGGGCCUGGGAACUUUCAUAUGCUGCAGGUGUGGCU